CGGAGGCCCCCUGCCCCUGCCCACGCACCCCUUCCCCUAUAGCAGACUGCCUCAUCCCUUCCCAUUCCACCCUCUCCAGCCCUGGAAACCUCACCCUCUGGAGUCCUUCCUGGGCAAACUGGCCUGUGUAGACAGCCAGAAACCCUUGCCUGACCCACACCUGAGCAAACUGGCCUGUGUAGACAGUCCAAAGCCCCUGCCUGGCCCACACCUGGAGCCCAGCUGCCUGUCUCGUGGUGCCCAUGAGAAGUUUUCUGUGGAGGAAUACCUAGUGCAUGCUCUGCAAGGCAGCGUGAGCUCAGGCCAGGCCCACAGCCUGACCAGCCUGGCCAAGACCUGGGCAGCAAGGGGCUCCAGAUCCCGGGAGCCCAGCCCCAAAACUGAGGACAACGAGGGUGUCCUGCUCACUGAGAAACUCAAGCCAGUGGAUUAUGAGUACCGAGAAGAAGUCCACUGGGCCACGCACCAGCUCCGCCUGGGCAGAGGCUCCUUCGGAGAGGUGCACAGGAUGGAGGACAAGCAGACUGGCUUCCAGUGCGCUGUCAAAAAGGUGCGGCUGGAAGUAUUUCGGGCAGAGGAGCUGAUGGCAUGUGCAGGAUUGACCUCACCCAGAAUUGUCCCUUUGUAUGGAGCUGUGAGAGAAGGGCCUUGGGUCAACAUCUUCAUGGAGCUGCUGGAAGGUGGCUCCCUGGGCCAGCUGGUCAAGGAGCAGGGCUGUCUCCCAGAGGACCGGGCCCUGUACUACCUGGGCCAGGCCCUGGAGGGUCUGGAAUACCUCCACUCACGAAGGAUUCUGCAUGGGGACGUCAAAGCUGACAACGUGCUCCUGUCCAGCGAUGGGAGCCACGCAGCCCUCUGUGACUUUGGCCAUGCUGUG
This 877-nucleotide long non-coding RNA is filed under the name Homo sapiens (human). Its description in RNAcentral is "non-protein coding lnc-MAP3K14-3:15". The record is from RNAcentral. Lineage: Eukaryota; Metazoa; Chordata; Mammalia; Primates; Hominidae.